GGAAUACUCUAAAUCUAUUGCUACUGUGUUUGUGAGAUUUUAUUUCCCUAAUACAUGAAGAUGUGUUCGAGACCUCUUCACCAGAAUGUUUAUGAGCCUUAAAUGUAUGGACCAUGAACGCAUCUUUUGAAAUUGGGCACAGUCACUGAGAUUUUAGUGGCUGUUUAUUGAGGAGGGAUAUAAGGUUUUGCACUUUUUCCCCUAACUCUUGUCAGUUAUUUUGAUCUUUCUUCUCUACCUCUCUGUGUCAUCUCCAGAGGAUGUCCAGGGGUGGAAUGCAUCAAGUGAAGCAAGCAUCUACAAGAGUGUGCUUGAGGGAGGAGGAGGCUUCAGGCCCAUGUACGGUGACAUCCCGAAACACCUCUGGGCUCUCAGCCUGAUUUCUGGAUAUGAAAGAACAGGACAGCUUCAGAAAGCCUCUCUAGAAGACUUUUCCCAGUGUCAUAAGAAGCAAUGUGACUCACAACUUUGUGGUCACAACAAUGUGGUACAACUUUGUGUAGUAUCGGGUCCGUUGGCCCUAGGAGGAAGAACUUUGCAUCUUACGGAGAAGCCAGAGAGUAGGAUGACGGUGGAAUUAGAACCCUUUGGAGCAUCUCCCCAAGUGUGAACAGAUGAAGCCAGGACUGCCUGACACUGAGAGAGCUACAAGAGCCUCUUUUCCACAUCAUCUGUGGAGCUUCAAUCCUUCCAUAACUGUGUUAGAGAGCACCGCUGGGCCUCAGUUCCCUGCUGUGAAGCCACUGAUAGAGCAUCCUCCACGAUGUCAGUCUAACGGACCUUCCUGCACUCAAGGGCUAGUCCCAUUUGCUUCACAGUCUUCACAGAAGAGACUCCAGAGUACAGAGUGCAGAGAACUUGGUAUUUAGGCUGGAGAGAGGCUUCAGGGAUGGAGUAUGGGUUUGAGAAGCUUCACAUACAAAAUAGGAUUAAGAUGGCAGAGGAGCCUAGCUGUAGAGGGUUAGAUAAGGGCUGUAAGGAGAUGUGGGGGUUGCAGAGAGGUAGACUUAUGGCUAUAGAAGGGUAGGUAGCGGUUGUAGGGAGACGGGUGGGGGCUGCAGGAGUAUAGGUGCAGGCUGCAGGGGACUAGGCUGGGGGCCUACAGGGGGUGGCUGGUGGCUGCAGAGAAGUAGUCUGGAAAGAUCAGAGGAAUGAGACUGACUGCAAGGUCAAAGUCAAGGCGAAACCUACAGAAUCAGAUCACAAGGCCCUUGAAUUUGUCCUAUUACAUCAAAUCAAGGAGAGAGGCAGAAAGUGCACUGGCAGUGCUGUGAUGGAACACUUCACUCUUUCAACCAACAAAUUUUUACUGAGCAUUUGACAUUAGCCAGACUCGUUUAGAUACUGAGGUUUCAAGAGAAGCUGUAAAAGAAGUCAAUCAAUUAUAAAGGCAUUGUCUUUUAGUGACUUUAAGAUUUUUGCUCCCUUUCUUUAGAGCUCUGUGAAGCCCUUUCUCAUUAGCUAAGGGCUUAUCCUGUGUCAAAUAUUUUAUAUAUAUGAUGUCAUUCGAAUUUCUCCACCACUCUCUGAGAUAGGGGCUAUUAUUUUUGCAUUAUAAGUAAGAAAAUUGAGGCCCAGGGAGGUGACAGGAUUACCAGAGCUAGAUUCAAAAGACAAAAUUGGUACAAUUUUCUUCCCCUUAUGUCUACUUCUUCCUCUCCUCUCUUCCUCUCCCCUCCUCUCCUCUCUUCCUCUCCCCUCCUCUCCUCUCCCCUCUUCUCUUCUCUUCUCUUCUCUUCUCUCUCUCUGGUCUUUUUCACCAUUUGACAACAUUUUAUUAAUUUUUAUUUCUAAUCAAGUGAUUUAAGCAAAUAUUUAAAAACUCUAAUAGUUCUAAGCUUUACCAUGAAAAACAGUGUAUUCUUGCAUACCUUCUCUCAACUCUUUCUACUUUCCAGAGGCAACUACUUUUGAGGGUUGGCCAGUUCAAUUCUAAAUAACAGGUUAGUGGUAUUAUUUUUUGACGUGUUAAUUUUUGACAUUAUUAUUUUGUGGUCAUGAAGUUUUAGCUCUCUGCUGGUCAUUGUCUACCUCUUCCAGGUGUAUUCUUUUAUCCAGCCUAUCCCCAGGGAGGCUGACCUUUGUGGAUAAAGUGCACAGGCUCCCGAAUCUUUAGGCUUUGGGUUGCAUCUAGUUAAUGGAGGCAUCAGCAGGAGAUUGGAUUGGAGGGGGCAUGAAGGAUAAGACUCCUUCUCCUCUUCUGGCAGCCAGCCUUAUCUAUACAGUUGCUCUCUGAGGUUCUGAUAACUGUCCCUCCCCUUGCGCUUGAAUAUUCAGGCCUAGAAAUGGCAAUGACCUCCUGCUAUUGUUAGCUCAGGGGACUUCCCUAUCUUUGUUUUCCUAAGCCCUGUCCACACUUUGAAAAUAGUUUCUGUAUUACAGGUUGAUGCCAUGUACCCCUACCCCACCCCCCAUGGUAUGUUGUUUACUUCAUUAGUACAAUGUUUACAUUUUUAAACUAUGUAAAUAUUGCUGACUACACAGCCAAGUAGUGAGUUAUAAAUUAGGAUUACAUUUCUUUACUGAACAAAUUUUUGUUUUUACUGUACUUAAGCGUACUUUUUAAAAAAUGCCUUAGCUUUUGUAUGUCUGGCUUUAAUUCUUUCCACAUCUUCAUUGGUUUUGUUAAAUGCCCUUAAGUGUUGUUUUCCAAAGGCUCAAAUAUGAUCAGUUUUUAAUGAUUUUCUUGGGGGGAAGGGUAUAUCGAGUAAACCGGCCUUCAUAAUAAACAGAACUUGAUCCAUGCA
Molecule: long non-coding RNA, 2747 nt
Organism: Vulpes vulpes (red fox)
Lineage: Eukaryota; Metazoa; Chordata; Mammalia; Carnivora; Canidae
Source: Ensembl